CCUACGGGCGGCUGCAGUGGGGAAUAUUGGACAAUGGGGGCAACCCUGAUCCAGCCAUGCCGCGUGUGUGAAGAAGGCCCUCGGGUUGUAAAGCACUUUCAGUGAGGAAGAACGCCUGGUGGUUAAUACCCAUCAGGAAAGACAUCACUCACAGAAGAAGCACCGGCUAACUCCGUGCCAGCAGCCGCGGUAAUACGUAGGGUGCGAGCGUUAAUCGGAAUUACUGGGCGUAAAGCGCGCGUAGGUGGCUUGAUAAGCCGGUUGUGAAAGCCCCGGGCUCAACCUGGGAACGGCAUCCGGAACUGUCAAGCUAGAGUGCAGGAGAGGAAGGUAGAAUUCCCGGUGUAGCGGUGAAAUGCGUAGAGAUCGGGAGGAAUACCAGUGGCGAAGGCGGCCUUCUGGACUGACACUGACACUGAGGUGCGAAAGCGUGGGUAGCAAACAGGAUUAGAUACCCUGGUAGUC
Molecule: ribosomal RNA, 465 nt
Filed under: Vreelandella stevensii
Lineage: Bacteria; Pseudomonadati; Pseudomonadota; Gammaproteobacteria; Oceanospirillales; Halomonadaceae
Description: partial 16S ribosomal RNA
Rfam family: Bacterial small subunit ribosomal RNA
Source: RNAcentral